Molecule: non-coding RNA, 484 nt
Organism: Pelobates cultripes (western spadefoot toad)
Lineage: Eukaryota; Metazoa; Chordata; Amphibia; Anura; Pelobatidae
Source: the annotation of a GenBank genome assembly
UUUCAGUUUGCCUCUGUCAAUGACCUGGUAUAUGUGGUGUAUUCCCCCUCUCUUCCAGGCGUCUUCGCGGAAUGUAGGUAUUUCCAUGCCUAUUGUUUGUAUUGGUGUGGCCAGGGGUAAUUUGGGAUUGGACACCAAAUUGUUUCUCAUUGUGUUCCAUACCCUCAUCAAGUUCUGUGUGCUGGGUAGCAGGUUUUCUCUUAUGUGUUUGGGACACUUCUGUAGCCAUAGUACCGCCCUGAGGUUGUGUUGUGGGGCCCAGUGGGAUUCUAUUGCUACCCACUGCGGGGCUUGGGCCGGGCGGUUAAUUUGGGCUAUGUUGUGUAGAUAAGCUGCUCUACAGUACGUUGUUAGGUUUGGCAGACCCAGCCCACCUUUGCUCACUGUUUGGUGUAGUGUUCCUGCUGCUACUCGUACCUUUUUCCCUUCCCAGACGAAUGUGUUUAAUGAGUGUUGUACGCUUUUUAGAAACCGUUUCGGGACG